UACGUAGGGUGCGAGCGUUGUCCGGAAUUAUUGGGCGUAAAGGGCUCGUAGGCGGUGUGUCGCGUCGGCCGUGAAAACCUGGGGCUUAACUCUGGGCGUGCGGUCGAUACGGGCAUCACUAGAGUUCGGCAGGGGAGACUGGAAUUCCUGGUGUAGCGGUGAAAUGCGCAGAUAUCAGGAGGAACACCGGUGGCGAAGGCGGGUCUCUGGGCCGAUACUGACGCUGAGGAGCGAAAGCAUGGGUAGCGAACAGG
This 254-nucleotide ribosomal RNA is filed under the name uncultured bacterium. Its description in RNAcentral is "partial 16S ribosomal RNA". It matches the Rfam family "Bacterial small subunit ribosomal RNA", at positions 524 to 776 of the family's 1533-position model. The record is from RNAcentral.